This is a long non-coding RNA of Xenia sp. Carnegie-2017, 297 nucleotides long. RefSeq lists it as uncharacterized. Lineage: Eukaryota; Metazoa; Cnidaria; Anthozoa; Malacalcyonacea; Xeniidae. The record is from RefSeq and is a predicted model, not a curated record. The transcript has 4 exons.
UACACAAACAAUGUAACAUUCAGUUACCUCGCUCUCUCCUUGGUGAACAUUUGAAGAAUGAAUGUGAAUAUCGCAAUGUGAAAUGUGAAUAUUGUGGUAAAGAUGUCUCGCAUGCUUUACUUAAGCUCUGUUCAAAAAUUAUUCGUCUCCUUUUGUCAAUAACGAAGAAUAUUGUGAAAUGUUUAAGUGCAGAAUUUGGUUGCUCGUCCUGCGUAUGUUAAGACAAAAAGUCUAUUUACAAGGUUACACGACAACGGAUGACAUUCAAUUUCUGAACAUCAUUGUAAAAUAUUACCA